ACAGUAUCUCAUAUUACGUGUACGACAGGAUCAACAGAGUAUCUAAAUCCACAUAAAAAUUUUGCAGUAAAAGAUUAAUUACACAUUCUAAGAGUUGUGCCAUAACCUGAAAAGAUUGAGUUCCUAGACAGCAUCAACUCAUCAUGGAGUUCAACAGUGAACUAUUUGAAUACUUGAACAAGGGGUUUGGUAAAUAGGCAGGCCGUUAAAGAAAAUUAUGACAGAACACUGAUACAGUCCUAAAUCCUAAACAUGAAGUACCGACAUUAAACUUUUUGCAGUGAUGGGUAUGGAACCAAGUAGCAUAAAAAUUGUAAUCUAAGAAAAGAAUUAGGAUUUUGGAUACCAUCGUAGUAGUUAUCAAGAAACAUCGUAGUAAAACAAUUUGACUACAAUUGGUGAAGUUUAUAAGAAAGAGCCUUCAUUUGGUUUAACCUCCAAAAUCCCCCAAAAGAAUGAAAUAAUGAAAACAAAAAUGCACGAAAGAAGUAUAAUGGGCAUUCUAUGCCUACGUUCUGAUUUGAUUGUUAAUUUAUGUUGGACUUUCUAACUUGAAUGCUUUUGUUGGUAGAUGAAUGAUAAACAACAAUGCAAAUAUUGAGGUAAAAGAAUCUUAGGGUUCAAUUAACCCUUUCUUCAACUUAAAUAAGUUUGCAGUAUAAAGGUAACAACUUGAAUCUCAAGAAAGUAAAGAAACAACUACAAGCAGAAUAACCAUUUAAAAAGCAGCAGAUGAAAGGUCGUAGAUAAGAGAUACCUCCUCAUUCUUAUGUUCAAUCAAUGGAAUAUGACAGGGUGAAACACAAGGAUUAGCAUUUGCAGAAAUCUCCAGCUUCUUGCCUGAUACAUCCUAGACGAUCUCAACAAAUUAAUCUUCAGGGAUAAGAUAUGUGAUGAGGAACCACCAAACUCACUAAACUCCCAGAUGGAAACUUAUCUUCAGGACUUUGUGGUUAGAAAUUAUGCAAAGAUAGAAUUACCUUAACUAUAUACAUCCUUCCAAAAGAAUCCACUAUCACCUAAUGUUACUAUUUCAAUUAAAUUGUGGCUACGUGUAGGCCAAAUGACCUUCACUAAGAAUAUAUGAACUUUUCACUUCAUUGCAGAAGAGGAUAAAUUUGUCAUUUACUCAGCCAGAGACAUAUAAUCCAGCGAAGAUAUGUUAUAUGCAACAACCAAGAAGCAUUUGAAAGUAUCCUUGCACUAGACAUCUAUCUGCACUUCAUCACAUCCUAUAAAUAUUAACCUUCCUGACCAAGGAACACUAAUUGCCAAUAGACAAAUGCUUACAACCAUUGCAGUUUGGAAUAGACUCGAAAUGAGAUAAGAACGAGAACCAUAACAAACUCUUUAGUUAUGAAAGUUUGUAAUCCAUGCAUUAAAACGAUUUGUUUAUAAAACAUGUUUUCCCUAAUUAAGUUGGAAAAAGGUUAUCCUUCAGUAUUUCUUAAAUAAGGCAAAAAAAAAUAAAGCAAGCUAAAGAGAAAUCUUACUCCAUAUUAACAUACUUGAGCUAUUAGGAUUUAAAUUGAAAAAAUAUCAAAUACCAAUAAAUGAUGGAACAUCCUCCAUGACCAAUCAUUUCGAUCCCAAAGCCAAAGCCUUUUAGAACUAUAUGAUCUUGCAGUAACUGUAGUUCAAUAAGAGGAUCUCACUGAACAAACGAAGAAAAUAAACGAACAGGUUCUUAACAUGGUUGAGUGGCUGGGGGAUAUGCCAAGUAGUUGGCAUCCUUAACACACCGAUCACUUGAGUGGAGGACAGUAUUCCACUUUAUUAGCUAUUAUUAGAGUAACUUUUUUUGAGAAAAUAUAAAGUAACUGUAAGUCUUGAUGAAAGACAUCCUUGAGAAAUUUGUUAAGAUAGCAAAAAUAUCUCCUACUUAGCUGUCUUCAGAUGACCAUGUAGGCUAUUAUAGUUACAUAAAAGGUUCCUUUAGACAAUGAAAUGAAUUUCAUGCCAAUUGUGAUACCACCAAUAGAAUGGACAAGCAGAACAAGUACUUACUCCAUACUAUUAUAGUUACAUAAAAGGUUCCUCUAGAAAAUGAAAUGAAUUUCAUGCCAAUUGUGAUACCACCAAUUGAAUAAACAAGCAGAAGAGAGAAAUUUGGUUGUGAAUAAAAUGUAAUAUACCCAGUAACAGUCGGAAAAAUUUCUGGCCCCUUCACACUUCUAGGAAUUAAUAUAACAACUCAAGUGACAAAAAAAAAAUCAUGUUUACUAGAAUUAGAGAUCAAACAUCUCACAAGCAAUCAGAUUUCUCCAAUAAUGUUUAACACUAUACUUGCAUCCCCAUGAUGCAAAGAUUUCAAGUCAACAAACCCAAGAACACCACAUUAUGGUAUUACCACAAUUCAUUCCCAUAAAACAAAACCCAUUCAUUCUAGGAGAAGGUUUUGUCCACUCAAAGCUGAUCAAGAGAAUAAAAAACCCCUCAAAUUAUUUCUUAAUAAUUUAAUCCCCAAGAUUUGCACCCAUCACCAUAUUACAGAAACUGAUCCAAGAAUAGAAACCCACUAACCUAAAACAUGCCCUUAGCUUCUUAACAGGAGAAAAAAAAAAACCCAAAUCUGACACCCACAAUGAUCCAAAUUACAGUUCAGUUUAUCAACGACAAUGAUCAACGCACAGAUCAAGAACCAAGAGCAGCAAACCCACUAACCUGAAAAAUGCCCUUCAGACUCUUAACAGGAGAAAGAGAACCCAAAUCCCACCAAGGCAUCGUACCAACCAAUUGAAAAACACAGAGACAUACACAAUGAUGCAAGUAAUAAUUAAGUUGGUUAGUAGAAAGUUAUGAUAAAACACAAGCAACAACCAUCUUAUCCGUGAGGUUCACUCACAGAAUACACAUGAAAGGGACUCAUACGCAGUAAUUAUGAAGAGUAGUUGAAGUGGAAAAUAUUUGACGGAAGAAGAUAACAAGAAGAAAGUGGAGAGAACGUCGUGAUUAGAAAAUAAAGAUAAAAAGCAAUACUCAAAUUAAAAUAAACAUAUAUAUAUGUAUAUGUAUAUGUGUAUAUAUCAUACCUUACGGCAUUACAGGUUUCUGCAAUGGAAUUUGACGACGACAAAAUAUUUGGAUUUGGCGGAUGACUGGGAUCUGUUUUUUUCGCCACAUCUUCUGGUCAGCCAUUUGAAGUUCUAAAGGAAUUUUUCCAUUUGCAGGAAAUUCUAAUCAGUUAUUUUAUUAUGUAACCAAAUAUACUAAAUUACUAUUUUGAAACAUUUAAAUUAAUUUUUUAUUAUUUUAAUUAUAUAAUUAUAUCUUUAUUUUUUUAAAUU
Molecule: long non-coding RNA, 3287 nt
Filed under: Carica papaya (papaya)
Lineage: Eukaryota; Viridiplantae; Streptophyta; Magnoliopsida; Brassicales; Caricaceae
Description: long non-coding RNA (CPAP_LNC005042)
Source: RNAcentral